UAAGCUCCAUGGCCGAACCUCUUGGAGACAAAAAGAGAGAAAAGCUUCCAAUUUCUUCCUUCUAUUUCUUGCCCAAUCUCACAAACCAACCAUUAAAACCGUGAUUUGCUCCAUAAAAACCUUUCUCUUGGUGGUAUUAAGGUGUGUGGUGAAGUGGUUUGAGAAGCAAAUGUGCUAAGUUGGGUCUUUCCUUGGGUUUGCAUGGUAAGUGACUAAGGAAGCUUUCCUUUGAUCUUGAUAAUGUUCAAUUAGU
RNAcentral lists this long non-coding RNA (253 nucleotides) under Coffea arabica (coffee). Its description in RNAcentral is "long non-coding RNA (CARA_LNC008068)". The record is from RNAcentral. Lineage: Eukaryota; Viridiplantae; Streptophyta; Magnoliopsida; Gentianales; Rubiaceae.